This 253-nucleotide ribosomal RNA is filed under the name uncultured bacterium. RNAcentral's name for it is "partial 16S ribosomal RNA". It matches the Rfam family "Bacterial small subunit ribosomal RNA", at positions 524 to 776 of the family's 1533-position model. The record is from RNAcentral.
UACGAAGGGGGCUAGCGUUGUUCGGAAUCACUGGGCGUAAAGGGCGCGUAGGCGGCUUUAUAAGUCGGGGGUGAAAGCCUGUGGCUCAACCACAGAAUUGCCUUCGAUACUGUAGAGCUUGAGACCGGAAGAGGUAAGUAGAACUGCGAGUGUAGAGGUGAAAUUCGUAGAUAUUCGCAAGAACACCAGUGGCGAAGGCGGCUUACUGGUCCGGUUCUGACGCUGAGGCGCGAAAGCGUGGGGAGCAAACAGG